This 253-nucleotide ribosomal RNA is filed under the name uncultured bacterium. RNAcentral's name for it is "partial 16S ribosomal RNA". It matches the Rfam family "Bacterial small subunit ribosomal RNA", at positions 524 to 776 of the family's 1533-position model. The record is from RNAcentral.
GACGUAGGGCGCGAGCGUUGUCCGGAUUUAUUGGGCGUAAAGAGCUCGUAGGCGGUUUGUCGCGUCGGCUGUGAAAACUCGGGGCUCAACUCCGAGCUUGCAGUCGAUACGGGCAGGCUAGAGUUCGGCAGGGGAGACUGGAAUUCCUGGUGUAGCGGUGAAAUGCGCAGAUAUCAGGAGGAACACCGGUGGCGAAGGCGGGUCUCUGGGCCGAUACUGACGCUGAGGAGCGAAAGCGUGGGGAGCGAACAGG